GAAAAAUAAUCUGACAAAUCCUGGUAUAGCAACAGUUUGCAACUUACCUGUCAGUGCUCCUAACAACCCUAAAGACCAUCAGAGAGAAAAGGUGUCUCUAGUCAGGCAUGGAGUCCUGUCUUCUCAGCAUUUGGGAGGCUGAGGCAGGAUGCUAGCUGCACGCCAAUCUGGGCUACAUAGUGAGUUCCUAGCCAGCCUGGUAUAUUAAGAAGAAGAAGAAAAAAAAAAGUCUGAGAUACUCUCAGCCGGGAGAGGCCUAAGGAGAUGUGUGGGAUCCUGGACAGAAGAGGCAUCUCGAGUAACCUUGAGGAGAUGAGAAGCCUCAGGAUGCUGGGAAUACACGGUUACCACAUUGCACCUGGUUCUAACGGUUUCAGCAAGAAUGAAUAUUUAUGUUCGGCAUCUCAAGAUGAUAAAAACACAGGCAGCUAAAACACAGCAGGAAAAGCUGCCUGAAGGUCAGAGGAUGAGGGUCUUCCACAGUACGAAGUCACAAAGAGAAUCUCCGGUCACUCUUAAGUGGAAGAAAACACACCGCCGCGUGACGAUUGCGGUCCAACGCCCAUGGGACGUUUGCAUUGUCUUCACAGGGAGUAUUGCAGCAUCGCUUUCGCUUGUUUCCAGCUGUGUUCAUCAUGACUGUAAUUGCAUGAGUCUGAGGAAGUGCGCUUGUCCCCAGGAAGCGUGACGCCACAUUCUGGCCACCGCACCCUGCAGUCUUCCCACCCUCUGCCUGGACUGUUUGUAGAGCGUAGCCCAGAGCCUUGCAUUUGCCGCCUCUAGUGGCGAAGCAGAUGGGUUACAGGGAGCUGAAUUCAGAAGGCAGAGUCCAGG
This 834-nucleotide long non-coding RNA is filed under the name Cricetulus griseus (Chinese hamster). RNAcentral's name for it is "lncRNA (ENSCGRG00015031651.1)". The record is from RNAcentral. Lineage: Eukaryota; Metazoa; Chordata; Mammalia; Rodentia; Cricetidae.